GAGGAAUGCAAUGACACGCACGUUGUUGAUUGUAAUCGUGUUAUGGGAAUGGCUGUCAACUGUAUUUGUGAAGUGAACUUCUAUUGGACCAUGGGCCAAUGUCGAGCGGCUCCAACACUACCAUCAACAACAAUAACAACCGACGCAGCAACGACACCCACCACCCAUGACGUCAUUGAUAUUGAAAUCCAAUCGCUAUACACACUUGGCACAGUUAUCGGCGGUGUUGUAGGUGGGAUGGUUUUCGGGUUCAUAGCAGCAACUUUGGUUGCCAUAAUAGUCUAUCGGAAGAUACAAAACAAGCCGGUCAAGACCGAAGUUCCAAGUCCGACACAAAAUGCAGCCUAUGAAGAUGCUAACAUUGUGGAGAGUUCACUCACCAAAAGUGAUGCUUAUGGUGUCGUUGAAUCCUCCCCGCAGCCACAGUAUGAAUUUGUUUGCCCGUAGUAACUGACUGUGCGCAUUCAUUUCGCCCUUGUAGUUUGGUGAGCAUCUCUGUAUAGUCACAGGUGUACGUGUAUAAUGUGCCUUAUUCUCUGUAUCAGUGCCAAUCUCUUACAGAACAAUCUUCCAUGCCUAACCUUGUGCAUUGUUUGAAAAAGCCUCCUAAUCAAGUUUUUUGUAAUUCCUCAGGUCGGUGCACUCUGCACUCUAUCUCGUCCUUUCUCGUCUUCUAUCUUCACAGAAUUGUUACUUUGGUGAAUUUCCUCUGGGAAUGCGCUUUUGAUUACGGAGAGGAAAGCUAACAUGACUUUCAAUUUGGACUUUUUGCCUUGCUGCUCAAGUAGUAAGGCUCAUAAAACGAAAACACGCCCACCCCCACACUCAAAGUUUCCUGUAUUAAUCACGUCAUUAAUAAUUAUAAUAAACUCCAUCGGGUAAAUCUUUUCUUUCGCUAUACAUGAUAAACGGCUUGCCUUUGUCCUCAAUAUUAUCCAUAUCUGCUUCCAUUUCUCAGUUGUUUUCCUUUUCUUUUCGAAAUCGUACUCUUUUCCUUGCCAGUGGUCAUUG
Sycon ciliatum is the source of this 1011-nucleotide long non-coding RNA. RefSeq lists it as uncharacterized. NCBI's taxonomy places the organism in Eukaryota, Metazoa, Porifera, Calcarea, Leucosolenida, Sycettidae. The record is from RefSeq and is a predicted model, not a curated record. The transcript has 3 exons.